UACGUAGGCAGCGAGCGUUGUUCGGAGUUACUGGGCGUAAAGGGUGUGUAGGCGGUUGUUUAAGUUUGGGGGGAAAUCUCCCGGCUCAACUGGGAGGGUGCGCCGAAUACUGAAUGACUUGGAGUGCGGGAGAGGUGAGUGGAAUUCCUGGUGUAGCGGUGAAAUGCGUAGAUAUCAGGAGGAACACCGGUGGUGUAGACGGCUCACUGGACCGUAACUGACGCUGAGACACGAAAGCGUGGGUAGCAAACAGG
This 254-nucleotide ribosomal RNA is filed under the name uncultured bacterium. RNAcentral describes it as "partial 16S ribosomal RNA". It matches the Rfam family "Bacterial small subunit ribosomal RNA", at positions 524 to 776 of the family's 1533-position model. The record is from RNAcentral.